CAAGUCAAGGGGGCCCAGCAAUGGGCAACCGGCGAACGGGUGCGUAACACGUGAGCAACCUACCGAACUGUGGGGGAUAGCCGGCCUAACGGCCGAGUAAUACCGCAUACGCUUUCUAAAAGGCAUUUUUUGGAAAGGAAACCUACGGGACAGAUCGAGGGGCUCGCGGCCUAUCAGCUAGUUGGCGAGGUAACGGCUCACCAAGGCUACGACGGGUAGCUGGUCUGAGAGGAUGGCCAGCCACAUUGGGACUGAGAUACGGCCCAGACUCCUACGGGAGGCAGCAGUGGGGAAUCUUGCGCAAUGGCCUAACGGCUGACGCAGCGACGCCGCGUGUGGGAUGAAGCUCCUCGGAGUGUAAACCACUGUUGCCCGGGACGAACAGCUCGAUUCAUCGAGCCUGACGGUACCGGGUGAGGAAGCACCGGCUAACUCCGUGCCAGCAGCCGCGGUAAUACGGGGGGUGCGAGCGUUGUCCGGAAUCACUGGGCGUAAAGGGCGCGUAGGUGGUUUGAUAAGGGUGUGGUGAAAGCCCGGGGCUCAACCCCGGGUCUGCCGUGCCGACUGUCAAACUCGAGGGCUGUAGAGGCAGACGGAAUUCCGGGUGUAGCGGUGGAAUGCGUAGAGAUCCGGAGGAAGACCGGUGGCGAAGGCGGUCUGCUGGGCAGUUUCUGACACCGAUGCGCGACAGCGUGGGGAGCAAACAGGAUUAGAUACCCUGGUAGUCCACGCCGUAAACGAUGGGUACUAGGUGCCUGGGGGAGCGACCCUCUGGGUGCCGGCGCUAACGCAGGAAGUACCCCGCCUGGGGAGUACGACCGCAAGGUUGAAACUCAAAGGAAUUGACGGGGGCCCGCACAAGCGGUGGA
RNAcentral lists this ribosomal RNA (869 nucleotides) under uncultured Gemmatimonadota bacterium. Its description in RNAcentral is "bacterial SSU rRNA". It matches the Rfam family "Bacterial small subunit ribosomal RNA", at positions 58 to 936 of the family's 1533-position model. Lineage: Bacteria; Pseudomonadati; Gemmatimonadota. The record is from RNAcentral.